Molecule: non-coding RNA, 79 nt
Filed under: Candidatus Electrothrix marina
Lineage: Bacteria; Pseudomonadati; Thermodesulfobacteriota; Desulfobulbia; Desulfobulbales; Desulfobulbaceae
Description: GEMM cis-regulatory element
Rfam family: c-di-GMP-I riboswitch aptamer
About the family: GEMM was predicted in a large-scale screen for bacterial structured RNA regulatory elements. Genes associated with GEMM are involved in a diverse array of functions, including chemotaxis regulation, signal transduction, secretion and chitin.
Source: RNAcentral
GUUGAAUAAAGCCACAGCCGUCGCGAGACGGUGUCGGAAAGCCACGGAUCUCCGGAGGGGAGACAGCCGGGUCGCCUAC